RNAcentral lists this ribosomal RNA (432 nucleotides) under uncultured bacterium. Its description in RNAcentral is "partial 16S ribosomal RNA". It matches the Rfam family "Bacterial small subunit ribosomal RNA", at positions 29 to 506 of the family's 1533-position model. The record is from RNAcentral.
AACGAACGCUGGCGGCAUGCCUAACACAUGCAAGUCGAACGAGACCUUCGGGUCUAGUGGCGCACGGGUGCGUAACGCGUGGGAACCUGCCCUUAGGUUCGGAAUAACUCCCCGAAAGGGGUGCUAAUACCGGAUAAUGUCUUCGGACCAAAGAUUUAUCGCCUUUGGAUGGGCCCGCGUUGGAUUAGCUAGUUGGUAGGGUAAAAGCCUACCAAGGCGACGAUCCAUAGCUGGUCUGAGAGGAUGAUCAGCCACACUGGGACUGAGACACGGCCCAGACUCCUACGGGAGGCAGCAGUGGGGAAUAUUGGACAAUGGGCGAAAGCCUGAUCCAGCAAUGCCGCGGGAGUGAUGAAGGCCUUAGGGUUGUAAAGCUCUUUUACCCGGGAUGAUAAUGACAGGACCGGGAGAAUAAGCUCCGGCUAACUCCGU